Molecule: ribosomal RNA, 484 nt
Filed under: uncultured bacterium
Lineage: Bacteria
Description: partial 16S ribosomal RNA
Rfam family: Bacterial small subunit ribosomal RNA
Source: RNAcentral
AUUGAACGCUGGCGGCAGGCCUAACACAUGCAAGUCGAGCGGAUGAAGGGUGCUUGCUCCUGGAUUCAGCGGCGGAAGGGUGAGUAAUGCCUAGGAAUAUGCCUGGUAGUGGGGGAUAACGUCCGGAAACGGGCGCUAAUACUGCAUACGUCCUGCGGGAGCAAGUGGGGGAUGUUCGGACCUCACGCUAUCAGAUGAGCCUAGGUCGGAUUAACUAGUUGGUGGGGUAAAGGCCUACCAAGGCGACGAUCCGUAACUGGUCUGAGUGGAGGAUCAGUCACACUGGAACGUGGACACGGUCCAUGGGCCUAAGGGAGGCAGCAGUGGGGAAUAGUAGACAGUGGUCGGAAGCCUUGUCCAGCCAGGCCGCGUGUGUUGAGGAGGUCUUCGGAUUGUAAAGCACUUUAAGUUGGGAGGAAGGGCAGUAAGUUAAUACCUUGCUGUUUUGACGUUACCAACAGAAGAAGCACCGGCUAACUUCGUG